RNAcentral lists this ribosomal RNA (301 nucleotides) under uncultured bacterium. RNAcentral describes it as "partial 16S ribosomal RNA". It matches the Rfam family "Bacterial small subunit ribosomal RNA", at positions 509 to 807 of the family's 1533-position model. The record is from RNAcentral.
CAGCCGCCGCGGGAAUACAGAGGGUUCGAGCGUUAAUCGGAUUUACUGGGCGUAAAGCGUGCGUAGGCGGCUAAUUGAGUCGGAUGUGAAAUCCCCGAGCUUAACUUGGGAAUUGCAUUCGAUACUGGUUAGCUAGAGUGUGGGAGAGGAUGGUAGAAUUCCAGGUGUAGCGGUGAAAUGCGUAGAGAUCUGGAGGAAUACCGAUGGCGAAGGCAGCCAUCUGGCCUAACACUGACGCUGAGGUACGAAAGCAUGGGGAGCAAACAGGAUUAGAGACCCCAGUAGUCCCUGUCUCUUAUAC